UUCCUACGGGAGGCAGCAGGCACGAAACCUUUACAAUGCACGAAAGUGCGAUAGGGGGACUCCGAGUGCGUUCUUCCCACAAGGAAGGGCGCUUUUCUGUACUGUAAGGAGGUACAGGAACAAGGGGUGGGCAAGACUGCUGCCAGCCGCCGCGGUAAUAGCAGCACCCCAAGUGGUAGCCAUUAUUAUUGGGCUUAAAGUGUUCGUAGCCUGCCGUGUAAGUCCGCUGUGAAACCCACGCGCUCAACGUGUGGAUGCGCCGCGGAUACUGCAUGGCUAGGGACCGGACGGCGUCGAGGCUAUUCCAGGAGUAGGAGUGAAAUCCAAAAAUUCCUGGAGGAGCACCUGUGGCGAAAGCGCUCGACGAGUACGGAUCCGACGGUGAGGAACGAAAGCCGGGGGAGCAAAGGGGAUUAGAUACCCUCGUAGUCCCGGCCGUAAACAAUGUGCGUUUGAUGUCGGCUAACCUCCGUGGUUAGCCGGUGCCGAAGAAAAAUCGUUAAACGCACCGCCUGGGUAGUACGGUCGCAAGGCUGAAACUCAAAGGAAU
Molecule: ribosomal RNA, 550 nt
Filed under: uncultured Halobacteriales archaeon
Lineage: Archaea; Methanobacteriati; Methanobacteriota; Halobacteria; Halobacteriales
Description: bacterial SSU rRNA
Rfam family: Archaeal small subunit ribosomal RNA
Source: RNAcentral